This is a long non-coding RNA of Canis lupus familiaris (dog), 1763 nucleotides long. RefSeq lists it as uncharacterized. The transcript has 7 exons. The record is from RefSeq and is a predicted model, not a curated record. NCBI's taxonomy places the organism in Eukaryota, Metazoa, Chordata, Mammalia, Carnivora, Canidae.
CUAUAAUCCCCCGCUUCCUUCAUACUCUUUUGCAAUGUGAUCUAGACUCUCCCUCCAUCCAGAGAUGAAUUCUUCCCCUCCCCUGGAAUCUGAUUUGACCUUGUGACUUCCUUUGUCCAGGAGAGUGCAGCAGAGGGAUGUUCUGUGGCUUCAGGGCCAAGCCUUAAGAGGCCUUGAAGCUUCCAUUUUCACCCAUUUGGAGCCCUGUGCCAUCAUGCAUAGAUGUCCCACUAUCUCACUGGAAAGACCAUGUGGACAGAGAGGUGCCUGGGUAUUUUAGCCAUCUCAGCUGGUGUGCCAUGUGAUGAAGGCCAUCUUGGAUCACCACUCCAGCUGAUCUGCAGAUGAUUACAACAACAAGAGUGAGCUCGGGUGAAACCAGAAGAACAGCCCAGCUGAGCCCAUUUCACACUGCAGAAUCAUGAGAAAACAAAGUUGUUAUGCGGCAGACAUAAUGGAUGUGGUUAAUUCUCUGUGACUGGUCUGCCUGUGCAUCAAUAAAAGCAUAUUUGCAAUUUCAAGGCACUAAGAAGAUGAUGAGUUGAGCCUCUGCUCAGCAUCUUAUUGAGCCGAUGGUAUUAUGUUGUAUCUAUUCCCUGAGUGGACCUGGUCUAAUACAAAGCUGAUAUAGGAGAAGAGGCUGGAAAUGCAUCCAUUCACUACUCCUAUUUACCUGUGGGAAGACUAUGAAGGAUUAGCAGAGAAUACAUUUUGAAAACCACUGGACUGAAUAGUUUUUCAAUCCUCCUACCCAGACACGGUCAGGUCCAUAAUGAUGACCUAGGUUUUCAAAUGAAGAUCCUCCCUUUGGCACAAUCUUUCUACAAAUAUUUAAGAAGCUGCCAACUGCAUGCCAGUAUAACCGCUGAGUAUCCCCCAGGGUGGAGCUCACUGCUGAGGCUCUCCACCGGCCAUUAUUAUUCUGGAAAACCUUCUAAGGCUCUGGAUCCAGCCUUCAUGCCUGUGGGCUCAGAGGAUCAUACGGAGGAAGAAUUGGUAGGUGGAGUAAGAAACAGGUUUACAACUGGACACCGUCUGGUCUGACAUUCCAGUUUGGCUAUGUACUGACUGUAUAAUCCUGAACAUGUCACUCAGCAGUUGAAGUCUCAAACUUCUUAUCCACGACCUAAUUACAGUGGCAAAUUUGUCCUAAAGAUCUACCUGCAUGUAGAAGCAUGACUACAUGACCGUAUGUCUGUGACAAAUUCAAGCAUUCUCUAUGGCCCUCCAUUACCUAUCAGGUUGUCAAUGAGAGAUCAAUGAGAGUGGAAGGUCACUAUCUUCCUUGGGAAGAGCUGAAUAUGCAUCUCCUCAUGUUUUAGCACCACGGGAAGGUCAGAGGAUGAGAGAAGAUUGCUCCAUCUCAUGAAUUUAUGGACAUAUUCUCCACACAAAAAUUAAGCCUGCAGUUAAAGCUUUAAAUAGAUAACUUCAGUAAACCUCUCUCUAUUAUCAAGAAUAAACUGUUGAUGGUAGAAAGUAAAGAUUUGGCCUGCGUGUAUGGCUCUGGCAGUAAUUAACUGCUUACUUACACUGAUAUAUAUUCAGUGCUUGAGAUAAUUGGAAAGAUACAGAACACUUCUCUCUGGUCUCCCUCGAUAAACAUCCCUCCACAGCUGCUGAAGGACAAAUAUAAAUGUCUGUUUCUUUUAGCCACAAUCCAAAUGAAGAGAAAUAUGUUUAUGAACAUAGCUUCAUGGACAGGUGAAUGAAGGUCCAAUCCAGCCUUAAAGAUUAUAUCUCUUCACAUCACCUUUCUUGAA